CCUUCACCUAACUUAUCAGUCUCGGCCUUCACCGCGUCGCAACCAUUCUCUUCCCUCACCUCUCAGAACCACCGGCACACGCUUCUCCCUGUCUCUCUGGCCUGCCACAAGCGAGAUUUGGCGACAAGCAAACCCCAGCAAGCAACAAGCGAACAAGCGGUGGCUUGGGAUUUCACCAGGCAUGGCCGCACCAGCCCAAGCCGACAGCUACAACCUCCAUGUUGGGGAGCCCCACGGUGAUCCAGAUCUGAGGAGCCCCACGAUGAUGGAUAGAGUUUCCCAGGUAUACUGUGAGCACGUGCUGGUUGGCCUCCAGCGAGCAGGUGACCAUGGUGGGGGAGCCGAACAGGUGCGUCUGCUACCUACGUCAACCAGUCUGACCUCUAUGUCCACCUCUGCAUCGGCCCCUACUUUUGCUCAGAGUUGAAAUUCAGCUGAAGGUUUGCAGUCAGCAACCAAGAUCUCAAAAGGGGGUUGCUGGUUCUUCUUAGAGAUCUUCUCAAGGCGCUGCAAUAUCAUCUCAUGGGCGCUAGGUGGUGAUAGCUUGUUGGAAGAAAGGGUGGAAGGGUGCUGGGAGUAAACUUGAAUGCUUUUGGACUAGGUGCUUUCUUAUGGUGAAUUAGAUGCUUUCUUUGAAUGCUUGUGGACUACAAUCUGUGUUUUAGUUUGUGGACUUGAAUCACUUUUGGUUGAUGAUGACUUAGCUAGAUUAUGUAUUCAGCUAAUCUAUGCAUGCUUGUAUAUUGGCUUGAUGGCACAUGAUUAUAUAUGUACUCAUUUGAUAUGGAUGUAUGAGUAAUGUGCCCAUUUGUGUAUGUCAUUCAGUAUUGUAUUGAUUC
Molecule: long non-coding RNA, 839 nt
Organism: Sorghum bicolor (sorghum)
Lineage: Eukaryota; Viridiplantae; Streptophyta; Magnoliopsida; Poales; Poaceae
Exons: 3
Source: RefSeq, a predicted model, not a curated record